UAGAAGCAAGGAGCCAGCAAGUCUAGCAGACAUGCAAGCCCUGCCUCAGCUUCUCUCCCAACACUCAGCUUUUCUCCCAAUACAGGAACUUUUGGAGGUCACUUCUGGGGCCUUUGCUGAGCAGGCCACUCCUUGCUUCUCCUGCAGAUGACAAGGUUUCCAGCAUGAUUAUUGCUAUGACUGAUGGAACAAUGAUGAAACAUCCAUCUUUGGACACUCUCAAAGAAGGAGUACUUCAUUGAAGUCAGCUUGAACAACGGCAAAACAUUCAAGAGCAAUGUCAGCAUCACCAGCACCACAUGUACUCGUGGAACAAAUACCACGGAGCAGCACCUAGCACAGAGGAAGGCCCCCUGCCCUGGGCAUCUGUGGGAAACCAGGGCCCAAGUCUGCGGUGAGCUGGUGCAGAAACUCUGAGCUGAGGAGCUAACAUUACACCCAUCUGCAACUGAGAGAACCUGCCAGGCUCCAGCAAAACCAAACAGGACAUUCUCCCCAGGAGACACCGUCCUCAUCCAGGGGAACCAGGAUUCUCAUGGAAAAUCAUUUCCUACUGAAGACGAGGUCAGAGGAAAAACUCCCAGGUAUCCCAAAGAGAGGCAGCAGAUACAAGAAACAAGGAGAUUCAAAGCCCAGAGAGUAAAGAGAAUAGAGUGAUCUAAAAGGAACAUUGAAAUAAGGGUGUAUAAAAUGUUCAAAAAAAGAUAAAGGAAUAAAACUAUAUGACAAGAACAGCUAAUUAUAACAAAUGCAGAGUUUUAAAAGGACCGAAGUUCUAAAAUGCAUUAAUGAAAAAUGAAACACAACCAGAAAGUUCAAGACAAAAAGUGGAAUAACUCCAAAGACAGAUCUGAGCAGCAUCUGCCCUGCAGCCCCACUGACCGAGAUGGAAACCAGAAACAGGAUGUUGUGUGCUGGGAGCAGAUAAGGAGUGUCUAGCAGGGCAGCUCACUCCACCAUCCUCAGCCCACUCCACCAUGCUCAG
Molecule: long non-coding RNA, 985 nt
Filed under: Homo sapiens (human)
Lineage: Eukaryota; Metazoa; Chordata; Mammalia; Primates; Hominidae
Description: non-protein coding lnc-MSMB-6:3
Source: RNAcentral